Ornithorhynchus anatinus (platypus) is the source of this 290-nucleotide RNA transcript. It is a transcript of the gene named reprimo, TP53 dependent G2 arrest mediator homolog, with no coding region annotated. Lineage: Eukaryota; Metazoa; Chordata; Mammalia; Monotremata; Ornithorhynchidae. The transcript is spliced from 2 exons. The record is from RefSeq and is a predicted model, not a curated record.
UGUCCCUUUCCCGGUCCCUGCCCCUGCCCUAAUCCCGCCCCUCUCCGGAUCCCCGGGGACCCCAGUCCCCCCCUCUUGGGGGGUCGAAGAGGAGAGAGCCAGCCACAGCCCCGUGCGCCUUCGCCGCGCCCGGGACCCCAGCCCGACCGGCUCGGGAGUCGAGGAGAAGAAAGAGAUCGUCAGAGAGCCACAGAGCCCGAGAGAGAGCGACAGAGAGCCACAGAAAGACCACCACAGCCCGGGCGCCCUCGUCGCGUUUAGAGAGAGAGAGAGAGAGAGAGAGAGAGAGA